Molecule: ribosomal RNA, 253 nt
Filed under: uncultured bacterium
Lineage: Bacteria
Description: partial 16S ribosomal RNA
Rfam family: Bacterial small subunit ribosomal RNA
Source: RNAcentral
UACGUAGGGAGCAAGCGUUGUCCGGAAUCAUUGGGCGUAAAGCGCGCGUAGGUGGCUUCGUAAGUCCGUUGUGAAAGUCAAAGGCUCAACCUUUGAAAGCCGAUGGAUACUGCGGAGCUAGAGUACGGAAGAGGCGAGUGGAAUUCCUGGUGUAGCGGUGAAAUGCGCAGAUAUCAGGAGGAACACCUAUUGCGAAGGCAGCUCGCUGGGACGUAACUGACGCUGAGACGCGAAAGCGUGGGGAGCAAACAGG